This 253-nucleotide ribosomal RNA is filed under the name uncultured bacterium. RNAcentral's name for it is "partial 16S ribosomal RNA". It matches the Rfam family "Bacterial small subunit ribosomal RNA", at positions 524 to 776 of the family's 1533-position model. The record is from RNAcentral.
UACGAAGGGUGCAAGCGUUACUCGGAAUUACUGGGCGUAAAGGGUGCGUAGGUGGUCGUUUAAGUCCGUUGUGAAAUCCCUGGGCUCAACCUGGGAAUGGCAGUGGAUACUGGACGGCUAGAAUGCGGUAGAGGGUAGUGGAAUUCCCGGUGUAGCGGUGAAAUGCGUAGAGAUCGGGAGGAACACCAGUGGCGAAGGCGACUUUCUGGGCUGUUCCUGACGCUGAGGCGCGAAAGCCAGGGGAGCGAACGGG